RNAcentral lists this long non-coding RNA (893 nucleotides) under Ananas comosus (pineapple). Its description in RNAcentral is "long non-coding RNA (ACOM_LNC039483)". Lineage: Eukaryota; Viridiplantae; Streptophyta; Magnoliopsida; Poales; Bromeliaceae. The record is from RNAcentral.
CCUGCACGCGGGCAGAGUCUCCCCUGUACGUUCAAGGCGUCGCAAUCAAUACAAUUACAAGAGGUUCCAAACAGGAACAAUUUUUCAACAACGAUUGCAUAAGGAAGGUAUCAAACAACAUAACACAUCCUAUGUUAUUACAAUCAUUCAUCUCAUCAUUUUACAUCGCAUUUUUCAUUACAUUGAUUCUCAACUUCCAAAUAUACAAUCGAUUUCUAAACAUAAUAUUACAACAUCGAUUCUUUUCUUAUACCCCUAAGAAGCCGACUCAGGGUGCUGCUAUCUGGUCUCUGUGGUAGGGCGCUAACUACGGAGCUACGCCCUUUCCUCACGCUGCCGCGCCGCUCGCGUGUGAACCUAUACCCCCAAAAACAACAACACGGGGGUGAGACUAUUGUCCAUAGUCGUCAGUGGGUACAGCCACCCAAGGGAAAAGCUCAACCCACCAGGUCCAAAGGAGGCACUGCAACAUGUUAGUCCAACAGAUAUAUACAUAUAACAUCAUGCAAUACAUGUUCAUGCCUCACAAAUAUGCAAAUUAUGCAACUCUUAGUCAUUCUUUACCAUUAGCCUUUCUUGAGAAUAUGCAAUUCUUUAUCAUUAGCCAUUCUUUAUUCUUUAAUCUUUAUUCUUUAUUCUUUAUUCUUUAUGCUUUAUUCUUUAUGCUUUAUUCUUUGUUCUUUAUCCUUUACUAAGGGCACUCGCGCCUUAGGCUCAUCAUACACAUUUGCCAUUCUUUAUAACAUUAACAAACGUUUCUCAAUUGUCAUUCUUUCUCAAUUGCUAUUCUUUCUCAAUUGUUAUUCUUUCACAGGGUUACCUUUACCCUAGCCAACUAUGCCACUCGACUCGGUCUUGAGUCAAUUCAUAAUGAAUACAAGAUCCACUUUCCA